RNAcentral lists this ribosomal RNA (1137 nucleotides) under Candidatus Pacebacteria bacterium CG_4_10_14_0_2_um_filter_40_20. RNAcentral's name for it is "bacterial SSU rRNA". It matches the Rfam family "Bacterial small subunit ribosomal RNA", at positions 375 to 1533 of the family's 1533-position model. Lineage: Bacteria; Bacillati; Minisyncoccota. The record is from RNAcentral.
ACGAAAGUCUGACGCAGCGACACCGCGUGUGGGAAGACGCUUUUCGGAGUGUAAACCACUGUGGCGAGGGAGGAAGUUCUGACAGUACCUCGCUAGAAAGCACCAGCUAACCACGUGCCAGAAGCUUCGGUAAUACGUGGGGUGCAAGCGUUAUCCGGAUUUACUGGGUGUAAAGGGUCCGUCGGCGUUCCUGUUAGUCAUUUGUUUAAGCCUGAGGCUCAACUUCAGAAAGGCAAAUGAUACUGCAGGAAUAGAGUCUGUUCGAGGAAACUAGAAUUCUUGGUGGAGGGGUGAAAUCCGUAGAUAUCAAGAGGAAUACCGUGCGCGAAGGCAGGUUUCUAGGACAUGACUGACGCUCAGGGACGAAAGCUUGGGUAGCAAAAGGGAUUAGAGACCCCUGUAGUCCAAGCCGUAAACGCUCCUUGCUAGUUGUCCCCAUUUUUAUGGGGGUGGCGUAAGCUAACGCGUUAAGCAAGGCACCUGGGGAGUACGACCGCAAGGUUAAAACUCAAAGGAAUUGACGGGGGAGCGCACAACCGGUGGAGCAUGUGGUUUAAUUCGAUACAAAGCGAAACACCUUACCCAGGUUUGACAUGUAUCUGCACGUUCUGGGAAACCAGAAUUUCUUCGAGAGUGAUACACAGGUGAUGCAUGGCUGUCGUCAGCUCGUGUCGUGAGACGUCCGCUUAAGUGCGGUAACGAGCGCAACCCUUGUCGUAUGUUAUACGUGUCAUACGAGACUGCCCACGCUCUGCGUGGGAGGAAGGAGAGGACGACGUCAAGUCAGCAUGUCCCUUACAUCUGGGGCUACACACAUCCUACAAUGGAGCCGACAACAGGAAGCGAAGAGGCAACUCAGAGCAAAUCCUCUAAACGGCCCCUCAGUUCGGAUUGAGGGCUGCAAUUCGCCCUCAUGAAGCCGGAAUCGGUAGUAAUCGCAAAUCAGCAGGUUGCGGUGAAUACGUUCUCGCUCCUUGUACACACUGCCCGUCAAGCCAGCAAAGUCAGCAGCGCCCGAAGCGGGUGACCGUAACCAGUUUACUGGAGCGGCCCUUCUACGGUGAGGUUGGCGAUGAGGACUAAGUCGUAACAAGGUAUCCGUACUGGAAGGUGCGGAUGGAUCACCUCCUUUCUAAG